RNAcentral lists this ribosomal RNA (461 nucleotides) under Hylomus solenophorus. RNAcentral describes it as "Hylomus sp. 1 SGN-2021 partial large subunit ribosomal RNA". It matches the Rfam family "Archaeal large subunit ribosomal RNA", at positions 1950 to 2641 of the family's 2987-position model. The record is from RNAcentral. Lineage: Eukaryota; Metazoa; Arthropoda; Diplopoda; Polydesmida; Paradoxosomatidae.
UUUGCUCGCUGCAACUUUGUGAAGGGCUGCAGUAUUGUGACUGUAUUAAGGUAGCAUAAUCAUUAGUUUCUUAAUUAGGGGCUGGUAUGAAGGGUAAACGAGAUGGUGGUAUAUUUUGGGAAAAGUUGAAAUUAAUUACUAUGUGAAAAAUCAUAGGAAAGAAAAAGGACAAGAAGACCCUAAAAGUUUUAUUUUAUUUUAUAAGAGGUUACAGAGGUUGAGUGGGUGAACUUAAGGGUAAUUAGUGCAGGUGUGAGAUGAAUUUUGGCUGGGGCGGCAUGUUUGGAAACAAAAUUUAUUUAUAAUUUAAUUGGGCGGUUGAUAGACCUGAUGGGGUCAAAUGAACAAUAAAUUACUUUAGGGAUAACAGCGUGAUUAUUUUUGAGAGUUCAUAUUGACAAGGUGGUUUGCGACCUCGAUGUUGGAUUAGGAUGAAAUCUGGUGCAGGAGUAUGGAGGUUU